GGGGUUGUGGCUCAGUGGUUGAGUGCUCACCUAGCAUGUGUAGGCACUGGGUUCGAUCCUCAGCACCACA
This 70-nucleotide transfer RNA is filed under the name Marmota monax (woodchuck). Its description in RNAcentral is "tRNA.Ala". Lineage: Eukaryota; Metazoa; Chordata; Mammalia; Rodentia; Sciuridae. The record is from RNAcentral.